This 891-nucleotide long non-coding RNA is filed under the name Ananas comosus (pineapple). RNAcentral's name for it is "long non-coding RNA (ACOM_LNC040892)". The record is from RNAcentral. Lineage: Eukaryota; Viridiplantae; Streptophyta; Magnoliopsida; Poales; Bromeliaceae.
AAGGGAAAACUUCAAAACUUCCAUGUGGUUUCAUAUUGUUUUUUUUAUGUUAGUACUAUGUGGUUAAAAUUAUAUCAAGUUAUUUAUGGUUUGCACUUUCUCACUUUAGUACCUUAUGGUUUAAAGUAUUUCAAGUUAGUACUAUGUGGUUUCAUUUUUAUAUCAAGUUAGGAACGUGUGGUUUUAUUUUUCUCUUUUGGAAAAACUUCAAAAACCCCCCUUGUUUCGUAGUUUCUCACUUUGCCCCCCCGUGGUUUAAAAAUGUAUCAAAUUGCCCCCUGUUGUUUCAUUUUUAUCAUUUCGGUAGUUUUUUCGUUAAUAUUUCAUUAAAUUAUAUAUAAAAAACUUCAAAUACCUAUCUAGAUUUAUCAAAUAUUCACUUUAGUACCCUUUAAUUUUAAUUUUAUCACUGAUUUAAGAAAAAAAAAUAAUAAAAUUGAUAAGAAAAAGAGAAAAAAGAAACCACAGGGAAGCAAAUUGAUACAUUUUAAACCACGGGGGGGCAAAGUGAGAAACUACAAAACCACAGGGGGUUUUUAAAGUUUUCCCUUCUCUUUUUAUUGUUUAUUUCGGAAUAUUUUUUUUUGUUAAAAGAGUGAUAAAGUUAAAACUAAAGGAUUUUAAAAUGAAUAUUCAAUAAAUCUAGAUAAGAUAUCUGAAAUUUUUUGUAUAUAAUUAACAAAAUAUUAAAUCACAAGGUAUUAAAGUAAGAAAGUGCGAAAACCACAUGGUACUAAUUUGAUACACUUUAAACUAUAUGGUAUUAAAAUAAGUACGAAACCAUAAGGUACUAACUUGAUACACUUUAAACCACAUGAUACUAAAAUAAAAAAGUGCGAAACAACAUGAGGGUAUUUGAAGUUUUUCCUAAAUUAAAUAACAAUUUUUUUC